CCCUUAGAUGUCCUGGGCCGCACGCGCGCUACACUGAUGCAUGCAACGAGUUUAUAACCUUGGCCUGAAAGGUCUGGGUAAUCUUUUGAACGUGCAUCGUGAUAGGGAUAGAUUAUUGCAAUUGUUAAUCUUGAACGAGGAAUUCCUAGUAAACGCGAGUCAUCAGCUCGCAUUGAUUACGUCCCUGCCCUUUGUACACACCGCCCGUCGCACCUACCGAUUGAAUGGUUCGGUGAAGAUCUCGGACUUCGAUAUUUAUUCUUCAUUGAACUUAUAUAGUGGGAAGUUAUCUGAACCUCAUCAUUUAGAGGAAGGUGAAGUCGUAACA
RNAcentral lists this ribosomal RNA (328 nucleotides) under uncultured eukaryote. RNAcentral describes it as "partial 18S ribosomal RNA". It matches the Rfam family "Eukaryotic small subunit ribosomal RNA", at positions 1470 to 1796 of the family's 1831-position model. The record is from RNAcentral.